RNAcentral lists this transfer RNA (89 nucleotides) under Mesoterricola sediminis. RNAcentral describes it as "tRNA-Lys". The record is from RNAcentral. Lineage: Bacteria; Pseudomonadati; Acidobacteriota; Holophagae; Holophagales; Holophagaceae.
UUAGAUGCAAUGGGGAAUUUUCUGGCUAGAGGGCAUUUGCUUGACUCUUAAUCAGAGGGUCCAGGGUUCGAGUCCCUGAGGAACCACCA